Molecule: long non-coding RNA, 264 nt
Filed under: Gossypium barbadense (sea-island cotton)
Lineage: Eukaryota; Viridiplantae; Streptophyta; Magnoliopsida; Malvales; Malvaceae
Description: long non-coding RNA (GBAR_LNC012627)
Source: RNAcentral
AGAUUGUUCUGAGUUUGAUGAAGUUGAUCCAGCUGGAAGAUAUGGAAGAGUAGAACUCCUCCUUUCUUUCUUUCUUUUUUUUUUAUUAGUUUGAUUCUUUGAUCCUACUUUUUUUGUUCUUUUUUGUUUCAGUAGAAUGAAAUCCUUGGAAAAGGAGCUUCAAAGAUAGUGUAUGAAUGAGAAUGAUGAUAACUCCAAUCUAAUACUUUUUUUGCUCAUUUAUUUUAAUACCCAGAUUUUUUUUUCUUCUUGUUUUAAUGUGUG